GGGUUGUGAGGUUAAGCGACUAAGCGUACACGGUGGAUGCCCUGGCAGUCAGAGGCGAUGAAGGACGUGCUAAUCUGCGAUAAGCGUCGGUAAGGUGAUAUGAACCGUUAUAACCGGCGAUUUCCGAAUGGGGAAACCCAGUGUGUUUCGACACACUAUCAUUAACUGAAUCCAUAGGUUAAUGAGGCGAACCGGGGGAACUGAAACAUCUAAGUACCCCGAGGAAAAGAAAUCAACCGAGAUUCCCCCAGUAGCGGCGAGCGAACGGGGAGCAGCCCAGAGCCUGAAUCAGUGUGUGUGUUAGUGGAAGCGUCUGGAAAGGCGCGCGAUACAGGGUGACAGCCCCGUACACAAAAAUGCACAUGCUGUGAGCUCGAUGAGUAGGGCGGGACACGUGGUAUCCUGUCUGAAUAUGGGGGGACCAUCCUCCAAGGCUAAAUACUCCUGACUGACCGAUAGUGAACCAGUACCGUGAGGGAAAGGCGAAAAGAACCCCGGCGAGGGGAGUGAAAAAGAACCUGAAACCGUGUACGUACAAGCAGUGGGAGCACGCUUAGG
Molecule: ribosomal RNA, 558 nt
Filed under: Escherichia coli
Lineage: Bacteria; Pseudomonadati; Pseudomonadota; Gammaproteobacteria; Enterobacterales; Enterobacteriaceae
Description: partial 23S ribosomal RNA
Rfam family: Bacterial large subunit ribosomal RNA
Source: RNAcentral